UGUGUGUGUGUGUCUAGCUGUGUGUGUGUGUGUGUGUGUGUGUGUGUGUGUGUGUGUGUGUGUGUGUGUGUGUGUGUGUGUGUGUGUGUGUGUCUAGCUGUGUGUGUGUCUAGCUGUGUGUGUGUGUGUGUCUAGCUGCGUGUGUGUGUGUGUCUAGCUGUGUGUGUGUGUCUAGCUGUGUCUGUGUGUGUGUGUGUGUGUCUAGCUGUGUGUGUGUGUGUGUGUGUCUAGCUGUGUGUGUGUGUCUAGCUGUGUGUGUGUGUCUAGCUGUGUGUGUGUGUCUAGCUGUGUGUGUGUGUCUAGCUGUGUGUGUGUGUCUAGCUGUGUGUGUGUGUGUGUCUAGCUGCGUGUGUGUGUCUAGCUGUGUGUGUGUGUGUCUAGCUGCGUGUGUGUGUG
Molecule: long non-coding RNA, 396 nt
Organism: Oncorhynchus tshawytscha (Chinook salmon)
Lineage: Eukaryota; Metazoa; Chordata; Actinopteri; Salmoniformes; Salmonidae
Source: Ensembl